UUGGGUUGGCCAAAAAGUUUGUUAGGGUUUUCUGGCAAGAUAUGACAGAAAAAUCCAAACAAACUGUUUGGCCAGCCCAAU
Molecule: microRNA precursor, 81 nt
Filed under: Ovis aries (sheep)
Lineage: Eukaryota; Metazoa; Chordata; Mammalia; Artiodactyla; Bovidae
Description: miRNA (ENSOARG00000022574.1)
Source: RNAcentral